UUCUUAACGAAGUAAUUUUAAGUAUCGCCUGCUCAAUGAUUUUUUAAAUAGCCGCGGAAAUUUAACCGUGCUAAGGUAGCAUAAUCAUUUGUCUUUUAAUUAAAGACUAGAAUAAAAGAUUUAACUUUUAAAUUAAUUUUUUAAACUUAAUUAUUUAAAUUAUCUUAAAUGUAAAAAGACAUUUAUAUAUUAGAAAGACGAUAAGACCCUAUCGAACUUUAACUUUAGUUAAACUGGGGUAGUUAAUUAAUUAUUAUUUUAAUUUUAAUAAAAUACAAAUUAGACCUAAUAUAAUUAAUUUCAUAAUCAAGUUACCGUAGGGAUAACAGCGUAAUAAAAUUUUUAAGAUCUUAUUUAAAAUAAAGAUUGCGACCUCGAUGUUGAUUUAAUAACCUAAUUCACGCAAUAGUGAAUCAAGGAAGUCUGUUCGACUUUUAAAAAAUU
RNAcentral lists this ribosomal RNA (444 nucleotides) under Cyrtarachne nagasakiensis. Its description in RNAcentral is "partial 16S ribosomal RNA". The record is from RNAcentral. Lineage: Eukaryota; Metazoa; Arthropoda; Arachnida; Araneae; Araneidae.